GGCGAACGCUGGCGGUAGGCCUAACACAUGCAAGUCGAACGGCAGCACAGUAAGAGCUUGCUCUUACGGGUGGCGAGUGGCGGACGGGUGAGGAAUACAUCGGAAUCUACUUUUUCGUGGGGGAUAACGUAGGGAAACUUACGCUAAUACCGCAUACGACCUACGGGUGAAAGCAGGGGAUCUUCGGACCUUGCGCGAUUGAAUGAGCCGAUGUCGGAUUAGCUAGUUGGCGGGGUAAAGGCCCACCAAGGCGACGAUCCGUAGCUGGUCUGAGAGGAUGAUCAGCCACACUGGAACUGAGACACGGUCCAGACUCCUACGGGAGGCAGCAGUGGGGAAUAUUGGACAAUGGGCGCAAGCCUGAUCCAGCCAUACCGCGUGGGUGAAGAAGGCCUUCGGGUUGUAAAGCCCUUUUGUUGGGAAAGAAAAGCAGCAGGUUAAUACCCCGCUGUUCUGACGGUACCCAAAGAAUAAGCACCGGCUAACUUCGUG
Molecule: ribosomal RNA, 492 nt
Filed under: uncultured bacterium
Lineage: Bacteria
Description: partial 16S ribosomal RNA
Rfam family: Bacterial small subunit ribosomal RNA
Source: RNAcentral